RNAcentral lists this long non-coding RNA (1191 nucleotides) under Sus scrofa (pig). RNAcentral's name for it is "lncRNA (ENSSSCG00005016629.1)". Lineage: Eukaryota; Metazoa; Chordata; Mammalia; Artiodactyla; Suidae. The record is from RNAcentral.
GCACACGCGGGUUCAGACUCCAGCUGCCUCCCACUAAGCCAGCCACGGACUUCACAAAAACAUAAAACCAUGCCACUCCACUCCCUGAAUUUGUUACUGAAGAACUAUUUUUUGCAGAAAUUUUCCAUUAACAUAAACAAGCCUGUCAUUUUUCAACAAGUAUAAACUGCAUUUAACUGCCAAUGUGCUAAAAACCAACCGAUGAAACGGAAGCUCUGUGGCGUCCCAACACCAGUCAAUUGGAGAACUGCGGCUGCUCUAGACCCGGGGCUGGUGACCGUGGGCCUGUGAGCCUGAUCCAGCCAUGGUCUGUUUUGCAAAUUGCCGCACUGGCAUGUCCACAGUCCACCCCCCCCGCCCCCCCGCGGCUUGGCAGGGUGGGGGCCGCCCCGGACCUGGGCCCAGAGCCCCUGGCCCUUUACAGACAACAAGGUCUGCUGACCCAAGACCGCCCGGCCCCUUGGCAAGCACAACAGAAGAGGACCCCAAGCCAUCACAGAACCUUGGCACAAAACCAGGGCUUAUGUCAGCAGUUCUUGCCUAAGGCCCCUGAAAACUGACACCAGAGCGGAGCAACCACCUCCGAAAACCCUCCUUCGCAGAAACACUGGUCAAGCGCUGUGCCCACCUGCACUGAACCCUGCAGGCAGCCUCACCCAGCUCCCCAGGAGCGGAGUCAAGGGAGCCGGCCUCACGGCAGCCUCCUCCAGAGGAAGGGAACCCCCACUCUGCCCAGGGUCCCGCGAAGCCCGCGGCAGCCACUCCAGGGUGAGGAGUCGAGGCCCAGGACACUGACUUCGCUGCAGAGCUGGCAGAGAGCACCUGCUCCCUGGAGUCUGCGUGCCAGGCUUUCUCAGCGCACGCCCGCCGCCAGAGCUGGGGGGCGGGGGUCGCUCCACAUCGCCUCCAGCCCGGACCACCUUAUCCGCGUGAAGACCCUCGAUCACAGAGAAGACCGUGAAUCUCUUCUGAGUCACCCAGCAAUCGCGUUUUAAUUCUUUCCCGCGUUCGCUAGCUGUCGAGGUUCCCGGACAGUUGGGCCGGGGUCCGACCCCGAGACCCAGCGCGGGCAUGCAGGAGGCGCUCAAUAAACGCGGACAAAGGAAGGAGAGCAAGAGCUACUGGCGCGGGCCACAGCUGGACACACAUUCCUGUCACCCACGGCGUGAGGGGCUCGCGCUGCUGGGCAUU